UCGAACGCGAAAGGGGCUUCGGCCCUGAGUAGAGUGGCGAACGGGUGAGUAACACGUGGGUGAUCUACCUUCGAGUGGGGGAUAACGUCCCGAAAGGGAGGCUAAUACCGCAUGACGUUCUGGGUUUAAAGACCUGGAAACCAAAGCCGGGGACCGCAAGGCCUGGCGCUUGAAGAGGAGCCCGCGUCCGAUUAGCUAGUUGGCGGGGUAAUGGCCCACCAAGGCGACGAUCGGUAGCCGGCCUGAGAGGGCGGACGGCCACACUGGAACUGAGACACGGUCCAGACUCCUACGGGAGGCAGCAGUGGGGAAUUGUUCACAAUGGGCGCAAGCCUGAUGACGCAACGCCGCGUGGGGGAUGAAGGUCUUCGGAUUGUAAACCCCUGUCGAAUGGGACGAAUGAUUCGCGCACUAACACCGCGCGGAAAUGACGGUACCGUUAAAGGAAGCCACGGCUAACUCUGUGCCAGCAGCCGCGGUAAUACAGAGGUGGCAAGCGUUG
RNAcentral lists this ribosomal RNA (502 nucleotides) under uncultured bacterium. Its description in RNAcentral is "bacterial SSU rRNA". It matches the Rfam family "Bacterial small subunit ribosomal RNA", at positions 62 to 543 of the family's 1533-position model. The record is from RNAcentral.